AGCGAACGCUGGCGGCAGGCCUAACACAUGCAAGUCGAGCGCCCCGCAAGGGGAGCGGCAGACGGGAGAGUAACACGUGGGAACGUACCCUUUGGUUCGGAACAACCCAGGGAAACUUGGGCUAAUACCGGAUAAGCCCUUACGGGGAAAGAUUCAUCGCCGAAGGAUCGGCCCGCGUCUGAUUAGCUAGUUGGUGGGGUAACGGCCCACCAAGGCGACGAUCAGUAGCUGGUCUGAGAGGAUGAUCAGCCUCACUGGGACUGAGACACGGCCCAGACUCCUACGGGAGGCAGCAGUGGGGAAUAUUGGACAAUGGGCGCAAGCCUGAUCCAGCCAUGCCGCGUGGGUGAUGAAGGCCCUAGGGUUGUAAAGCCCUUUCGGCGGGGAAGAUAAUGACGGUACCCGCAGAAGAAGCCCCGGCUAACUUCGUGCCAGCCGCCGCGGUAA
RNAcentral lists this ribosomal RNA (447 nucleotides) under uncultured bacterium. Its description in RNAcentral is "partial 16S ribosomal RNA". It matches the Rfam family "Bacterial small subunit ribosomal RNA", at positions 29 to 523 of the family's 1533-position model. The record is from RNAcentral.